GGCGGCGCCCUGUGGAGGAGGCCCGGAGCACGUGGGUUGGGGACCUGCGGAUCCCUGCCUGUCCUCGGCCUACCGCGACCAGCAGGCACUCCAGGUCAGACCGGUGCGGGGCGCUGCGGCCCAGUUCCCUAGUAGGAGGACGUGACUCGAGGAACCCGAGGACGGAGCGGGGAGUCCUGGCUAGAGGGUGGGGACUAGGGAGGUUGCCUGGUCACUGUGGCACUCCGCUGCGGUGCAUCCUCCGGCCCAGCAAAGGUGCAGUCUGGGAAGAAGGCGUCAGUAUCACCCAAAGGAGAGGAGAGGGGACUUGGCACGCCUCAGGAAGAAAAAAGGGAAGACUCUCAGGACCACCAAAUAAGCAACCGGGAAACCACGUACCAUGGACAGUGCUCGGGGAAUUUAGUAAGGUUUUUUGGAGGUAACUUUAUGUGUAACUAGAAUAAGAGUAGCUUACAUUUAAGUGCCAGGAGCAGGACUUUGCAUACUUCAGGUUCAAUUUUCUUAACAGCUCUGAAGUGGGUAUUUUUAUUCAUUUUCAGAUGAGAUGAGGAAGUCAAGCUUGGGGAAAGUUAGGCUUAUCUUGCCCCUGGCACACAGACAGGGUGGCAGACCCUGCCAUAGAUCUGGUCUGCCACAGGCCCCGGCAGCUCCUGCCUCUCACCCCUCCAGUUGUCUUUUUAUUAACUCCUGCCAGCUACUCUAGCAGGGAAGAGGAAAAAAAUUAAAAGUGCAAAGAGCUCUGUAGUUGGGUUCAAAUGGAGGAAGCCGGCGUUGGCAGUAGCUGCUGAGGCCUGAGAAGGUACACGAAGGCUUCCCUGAGAAGAGAAACUUGAAAAAACUGAGCUUGAAGAUUAGAGAGCCUGGGGAGGAGAGGGGCUCAUUUAGCUGGUAAGCAAAAUCCAGUGGGACUCUAAGUCAUUCAGCAAAUCUUCAUCAAGAAAGAAUAGCAAGUAAUUCAUGUUUAGUUUAAGGGGAUAUAUGUGGGGUGGGGAAGGGAAAGGGUAUGAGUAACAGAGAUGAGGUUGGGAAGACAAGUUGGUAGCAAUAGAUUCUUGUAGGAGUUUGGACAUUAUCCUAAGUGCAGUAUGAAACCAUGAUGGGGUUUCAAGUGAGCAAUGAUGAUUACAUUUGCAUUUUAGAAAAAUAUAUCUGCAAUAUGAAAGACAAAUUGAAGGAAGAAACAGAGGCAGGAGACAUUUGGAGGGAGGAAAAGGAAAGCCAAAAUAAAGUAACUGAUUCCAGGCCUGUGCCUAGGGUGUGAAAUACCUUGAGCCUGGUGCUGGCUGGGGGUUUCGCUGGUGGAGGUGGCGGUGUGCAGGGGAGAUGGUGUUGGGAGUGGGUUUAAGUGCACAAAUUCCAGACUUAGUCCUGGGUUCAAAACCUGUUUAUGCCUUUUUCUAGCUAUGAGGCCUUGGCUUCUUCUGAAACUCAUUUUAGUUAAGGGGGUGUUGGGGGUGGGGGGCUCAGCCCAGAGACCACAACUUAGUCAGUAUGUGUUUUCUUCCUGCUUCCCAUCCAGGGCUCCGCCUUACUCCUGGGGGUUCCAGGGAUCUGGCAGAGAAAGAAGCCCAGAUUCACCAGUGAUGGCUCCCGAACAUCCUUUGCAAAUACUACUUAGGACAGAUGGACUGAAGAGGGAAGGUGGAACUGAGGAUCCUGAAUCCAUUUGGAGGCAGAGAGGGGCCAACAGGGUGUCUGAAGGGAGCAAAGGCAUCGAAGUUUUGGGAGCACCUCGAAGUGGGGCAGUGAAUGCAGAUGAGUGGAAGCACACACACACGUUUCUCCUCCUUGACCCGGAAUGAGACAGCCUUCAGAGAGCUCUUGCCAGCUCCUCACUCUAGCCUGGGUGAAGGGGGCACCUGUGCCAAAGCAGGCAGGCACACAGGCAGAUUGGAAGGAAUUUCUGUCUGCAGCGUUACAUGCCUGAGGGAUCCCGCCCUCAGCCCUCUCUGUCUCUCAUGGUACUCUCAUCCACCCCACCCCCCCCCACCCCCGCUGCAGCUCCUGCCUCUGUGCUGACAGCUCUGUCAGUCCAGCCCAGACCUCCCCUGGCAGUUCCAGACCAGCCGAUCCCACUGCCUCCUGACAGCCACUCUGGAUGUCCCACCGUUCCUCAGACUUGGCACCCUUUCCAAAUCCACGCCCCCAUCUCAUUUCCAAGGAAGAAAAAUCAUAGAGGCCUCCCCAGUACAAAUGCAGACGUGGGAAACAAGGUUUCAAAGGAUCUCCAGAAAAGCUCAAGGAUAGCACUGGCCUUUUGGAGGUGGCUUGGGGUGGUGUGGGAGGCAAGGUCAGCACUAACUUUUCCUUUCUUCCCUACGAAGGUGUGGACUUCUUAGCUUCCUGUCCUUUUCAUACCAUUUGCCAAAUUGAAGUUAAAUAAUUAUUACUGUAAUUGCUUAUUUUUUGUCUGUCUUUCCCAGUUUAAGCUUCUCAAGGGCAGGGAUCAUGUCCGUUUUGCCUCUGUAUCCUUGGCAUCUGUCAUAUAAUCAGUAUCUGACAUAUAACAGGUGCUUAAUAAAUAUUUGUUUGAAUUAA
Molecule: long non-coding RNA, 2538 nt
Organism: Sapajus apella (tufted capuchin)
Lineage: Eukaryota; Metazoa; Chordata; Mammalia; Primates; Cebidae
Exons: 2
Source: RefSeq, a predicted model, not a curated record